AUGCUUACCUGGCAGGGGAGAUAACAUGAUCAUAAAGAUGGUUUUUCCAAGGGUGAGACUUAGCAAUUGCACUCCAGAUGUGCUGACCUCUGUGAUUUCCCCAAAUUGUACUGCAUAAUUUGUGGUAUUGGGGCACUGCAUUCACCCUCCUA
Molecule: small nuclear RNA, 152 nt
Filed under: Microcebus murinus (gray mouse lemur)
Lineage: Eukaryota; Metazoa; Chordata; Mammalia; Primates; Cheirogaleidae
Description: U1 spliceosomal RNA (ENSMICG00000034725.2)
Rfam family: U1 spliceosomal RNA
About the family: U1 is a small nuclear RNA (snRNA) component of the spliceosome (involved in pre-mRNA splicing). Its 5' end forms complementary base pairs with the 5' splice junction, thus defining the 5' donor site of an intron. There are significant differences in sequence and secondary structure between metazoan and yeast U1 snRNAs, the latter being much longer (568 nucleotides as compared to 164 nucleotides in human).
Source: RNAcentral